AGAAGCGAUGCGGCGACGCAGAGCGGAACUUCAAAGCCUGUCUCAGUUCGGAUUGGAGUCUGCAACCCGACUCCAUGAAGCUGGAUUCGCUAGUAAUCGCGCAUCAGCCACGGCGCGGUGAAUACGUUCCCGGGCCUUGUACACACCGCCCGUCACACCAUGGGAGUUUGUAACACCCGAAGUCAGUAUCCUAACCGCAAGGGGGGAGCUGCCGAAGGUGGGAUAAGCGACUGGGGUGAAGUCGUAACAAGGUACC
Molecule: ribosomal RNA, 256 nt
Filed under: uncultured bacterium
Lineage: Bacteria
Description: partial 16S ribosomal RNA
Rfam family: Bacterial small subunit ribosomal RNA
Source: RNAcentral